RNAcentral lists this long non-coding RNA (4836 nucleotides) under Ricinus communis (castor bean). RNAcentral's name for it is "long non-coding RNA (RCOM_LNC001282)". The record is from RNAcentral. Lineage: Eukaryota; Viridiplantae; Streptophyta; Magnoliopsida; Malpighiales; Euphorbiaceae.
GGUAAAGAGGUAAAAAUUUUAAGAAAGAAAGAUUAGGACCUGCCCUAGUCGAGCAUCGCUCUCUGGGCUUAGUAGAGUGUGGUUGCCGGAGUAAAGGUCCCUGGUCAAGCAUUGCUCUCUGGGCGCCGGCUUAUUUGGAAAUUUAAGUGACCAGACUGGAGGUAAGGUCCCUGGUCGAGCUAAGCUCUCUGGGCGCCAGUCUUAUUGGAUAAGAGAGCCGAAAGACUAAGGCUGAGAGUUAAGUGACCGGACUGGAGGUAAGGUCCCUGGUCGAGCUUUGCUCUCUGGGCGCCAGUCCUAUUGGAAUGAGAGGUUUGAGAUGAUAGAGUUGAGGUUAGUUGAGACAUAAGUGUUGAAAUAAUCGAGAUUUUAGAGUUGGGAUUAGAGUUCUACUGAAGUACUCCGUCCCGUUGCAUGUGGAAUAAAUUUUGUUUAAGCAUGGCAUGACACAUAUGUUUUAACAUGACACGUAUGGUUCGCGUGAUUUAUUAAUUAUUUUAAAAUUAAAUAAGGUGACAUUGAGAUAUUUGAAACUGUUAUAGAUAUAUGAUUUUAACUCACUCUCGAGACUGACAGUCUCUAUUUACUGUUUUUCAGAUUCGUGACUGUUAGUCCUCUCGCGACUCUUAUUCAGUAACCCGACUCCUUCAUCAUCGGGUGAUGUAUUUGAUUUGGUAUGUAAAUUGGUAAAUCUUAGAUUCUCCGCAGUAAUAAUAGUAAAUGUAUCAGUUGUAAAUUUUCUGAGUUUCAGGUCUCGCCUAGUUUUUCUGGCAGACCGAAGUAUUUAUGUAGAAUGUAGCUGUUAAGAUAAAUUGUGGCUUUAAUAAUAUUAAUUUGAGAUGAGAUUUGUUUAAAUCAGUGAGUGUCAGGCUUACUACGGGUUUCGGUGGCCUUAAGCCUACCCCCCUAGUGCCGGUCACGGGCCCACGGGUGGGGUCGUGACAAAGUUGGUAUCAGAGCUUAGGUUUAGAUUUCCUUCGACCUAAGUUGAGAUUUUUCUUGGUACUGCGGAGUUAGGAUCAUGUCUGUCUUGUUGUUUUCAUUGACUCCAAUGUCUCAGCCUUCUUUGUUAGAGAGUCUGUCAUUCUUUUCUUGUGAGCUUGUCUUUGGUGCCGUGCUGAGAAUGAGCUUUGUAGCGAUGGGAAGAUUCGAAGCGUGGUAGACUCGUGCUGUUUCUUCAAGUGAUUAGUGCAGUCCGCCUUUUGAAGCUUUGAUUGUUGUUUCGAUGGUGGGCACCGCAGUCAGUUUUAGUGUAGAGCGUGGUUGCAGUCAUGUCAUGAGCUGCCUCGUCAUCGCAUCAGGCAUUGCCUUAUUGAGUAGCGCCGAAGUUAGUGCCUGGGAAGUCGAGUAGAUGUCAGAGCUUUAUGGUUGAUUUUUGUGGUUGUAAGAAGCUUAAGAAAGGUGGCAGGAGUAUUUUCGGACGCUCGGAAAUCCAGAGAAACUUAAGCGAACAUUGUUUAUUUUUCUAAGUAGAACAAGUGUUUUAAAAUACAAUAUUGCGCCCAGUCCCGUAAGAAUGCAUAUGGCAUUUCACUGUUAGGCAUACAUAAAUUCAUUUUAGGACAUGCAUCAUACAUUGUGCAUUGCAACCCUUGGUGAUAGGGGCAUCAUCACCCUGGUGCGCGAUAUUGUAGAAUUUUAUAUAAAGAGAAAUGGCUGGAGAUUUUAUGAUUUUACAAAAGUGUUCUUCCAAGAUGAUAAAGCUUUAUCAGUGAUGAUUAUAAAGUAAAUAAAUAAGUAAAUUUUUCAAAGUAAAUAGUGUUAGCUUGAGAAUUCUCUGGAUGACGAGCUGAGUUGCUGAGAGAGUAAGUCUGUGGAGCUGCAGGCCCCAUGUUAAAUAAUAAAGGAGGCUUCUGGAUUUCAGUCAAAGAGAAAUCUUGUGUCAGGAUGGCAUAGGUUGUGUUGGUUGAUGCAAUCAGAUGGAUGUUAUGUCGAGGAUGAUGUGAUGUAGAUGUUAAGGAUUUUUCUGUACGUGCAAGGGGCACGUCAUUAGGAAGGAAAUUUGGUGAGUGGAUUUUUGGCAGGAUCAGAAUUGGCCCUUCUUGUGUGGAAACCCUUGGUUUUGUCGGCAGGUUGGUGAGGUGGCAUGUAAGUUGGACUUGCCGCCAAGUAUUAGUAAUGUUCUCUGAGGUUAAAUCCAGUUGUUUGUAAGUCUGAGCUGAGGAAGUGUAUUUUCGAUCCUUUGCUCGUGUUGGACCCUUAGUGUGUGGAAGCAAGUGAAGAAUUGGUUUCCAAGGAGUAGUAAGUGAGGAUCGCGGAUUUUCAGGUUCGCCAGUUUUAUUUAAGGGUUUUAUUGAUGAGUCUUGUGGUUUAGUUUAGUUUCUGCCGAGGAAAAGUUUCCGAGGAGCCGAGUUGGAGAUGAGAGGUUCCUAAUUAGUUUCAGUCUUAGAGUGUAGCCCCUUUUCUUUUAAAAUUCGAGGUCGAAUUUUUUUUUUAAGGGGGGGAGAAUGUAACACCCGGAAUUUUUAUAUAUUUAAUAAUGAGUUUUUAUUUAAGUUAAUUUUAGCUUUAUUUUUAUUCGGUUUAAUUGGAAUGAUUUAAAUACAAAUUUUGAAUGUUCAUGUUAGAUAAAUAAAUGAGUUAUUUUCCAUAUCCAAUUAGUUUGAUUUUUAAGGAGUAAUUAAGUAAACUAUUUGAGAAAUGAUUAUAUUUUGGUUAUUCAAAAUUUUCCCAAAUGCAUAUUUAUAUAAGUAAAAUUAUAUAUUAAAAAAAUUUGGAAGAAAUUAUAAAGGAUGUUUUUAUAAAAGAAAUUUGAGAAAAUUGGUAUUAUAAUUGAUUAGUAGUAUUAAAUUUUAAGUUGGAAAUUGAUUAUUUAAUUUAAUUGUGUGCUAGGACUAAAUUGGAAAUUUAUUUUAGAAUAAGGAUUGAAAGUAUAAUGUUAUUUUUAUGGGGUUUUAAUGGAAAUUUGUGAGUUUGGUAUUUUUGUAAAUAAAUAUGUCGGUCAGGGGUAUUUUUGUAAUUGUGUAUUUUCAAUAAUUCGGAUUUGGCCCAAAUUAAAUAGUUAGGGGCUUAAUUGAAAGGCUAAAAAGAAGUUUGGGGGUUAAAUUGGAAUUCUGCAGGAUGAAAUUGUAAGUAAUUAAGAAAGUUGAGGGACCAAAUUGUAAUAAGGAAAAGUUUGGGGGCCUAAUGUCGAUAUUGAAAGGAAAGAAAUCGGGGAAGAAGAAAGGAGGAGAGAGAGAGAGAGUGCGGCGCCGGGAAGAGAGAGAGGGGGACGCUGCAGGCGUCGGUGGCGACCGUCGGGGGCGUGGAGCGCUGGCCGACGGAGCGGCGUGCGCUGGCGAGCGCAGCGGCGGCGGAAGAGCGCGAAGGCAGCGGCUUCCAGGCGUGUUUCCGGCCGUUUCCGGCGUUGUUGGUGGCCGAGUUGGGUGGCGAUCGGCUCCUCUCGGCGAGGGCUCUCUUCUGGCAGCAGUGGCGACGCCUAGGGUGGCCGGAGUUGCAAGAUCCGGCAAAGUGAAACUUAGAGUGGCAGCCGUGUUUUUGGGCUUUUCCGGCGAGCUCCGGUAGUGGAUGGAUGAUCGGAGGAUGUAUCCCGACUCUCCUAAUCUCAAGCUUCGCAUUGGCACCGGUUUUGUGGCGAUCGGGUUUCGUUUGCAAAUCGAUGGCCGAGAUCGUCCGCAAAUUUCUUCGGAUGAUUGGGUGUCAGAUCGAAAAAUCAGAAGCGGGGAUCGUCUUCAACGCGUCGUUGUGAGUCCGAUGGUGUGUUCGGAUCGUCGAUCGGACUCCGGUGGCCGGAGGCGAGUCGACCGAGCGAUCGAGCGUCUCGGUAAUUAUCUUUGGCCCGUUAAUUUUGGAAUUCUUGGUUUAAUUGUGUCUAAUGGUUUAUAUUGAGUAUUUGAUGAUUUUUGUGAGUCAAAAAUAUUUGUCUGUCAGUUGGCCUGCCAUAGUCGUAUUUUGUGCUGUGUGGCGGAGUCGGGAAAUAGUGAAGUUUGGGGACCCGACUCCUAUUGUUUGAAUCGUUAAGUAUUUGAAGUGUUCUUCUGGCAGGUCCUGGACCCGUUUCUACGGGGGUUAAUGUUCGUGUUGUAGGGGAGGUUUUGCCGGAUUUUCGGUAGAAUUCUCCCGAGUCGAGAUUCUUAGACAGUCAGUCCUAGGAGUCUAGACCUAGGAUUAAUGAUCGAUUGUUUCAGCGUUUUGAUAAAUUGUUUUUCGUGAUUAGAUGAUCUGUCUGUUCGGCUCAUUCCAACCGAGGCACCGGAGCAGAGCUAGGAGGUCGCCCAACCUGUGAGUUAAAGUCAUAUAUCGCUUACGCACGUGUCAUGCAUAAAAUUUGAUUUGCUACUGUGAAUAUUUAUUUGCAAUUUCAAUUUUUCAUUUAAUUAUUAUUAUUAUCAUUUGCAUGAUGCUUUUAAUUACUAUUUAAAUAUGUUUUUCCUUUAUUACCAAUUUUAAUAUUGCAUGAUGACUCAGGAUGGGACAGCAGUAGAACAUAGGAGUUGGAUGAGUGUCCCAAUAUAAUCUGAGAGAGAUAGGGAAAGGGUAAAGAGGUAAAAAUUUUAAGAAAGAAAGAUUAGGACCUGCCCUGGUCGAGCAUCGCUCUCUGGGCUUAGUAGAGUGUGGUUGCCAGAGUAAAGGUCCCUGGUCGAGCAUUGCUCUCUGGGCGCCGGCUUAUUUGGAAAUUUAAGUGACCAGACUGGAGGUAAGGUCCCUGGUCGAGCUAAGCUCUCUGGGCGCCAGUCUUAUUGGAUAAGAGAGCCGAAAGGCUAAGGCUGAGAGUUAAGUGACCGGACUGGAGGUAAGGUCCCUGGUCGAGCUUUGCUUUCUGGGCGCCAGUCCUAUUGGAAUGAGAGGUUUGAGAUGAUAGAGUUGAGGUUAGUUGAGACAUAAGUGUUGAAAUAA